UGGGGAAUAUUGCGCAAUGGGGAAAACCCUGACGCAGCGACGCCGCGUGGGUGAUGAAGGCCUUCGGGUCGUAAAGCCCUGUCGUAGGGAAAGAACUGGUUGCAGGCUAAUAUCCUGCAGCCUUGACGGUACCCUACAAGAAAGCACCGGCUAACUCCGUGCCAGCAGCCGCGGUAAUACGGAGGGUGCAAGCGUUGUUCGGAAUUACUGGGCGUAAAGAGCGUGUAGGCGGCUGACCAAGUCCGGUGUGAAAGCCCGGGGCUUACCCCCGGAAGUGCGCUGGAAACUGGUCGACUAGAGUAUGGGAGAGGGAAGUGGAAUUCCUGGUGUAGCGGUGAAAUGCGUAGAUAUCAGGAGGAACACCGGCGGCGAAGGCGGCUUCCUGGACCGGUAUUGACGCUGAGUGAGCGAAAGCCAGGGGAGCAAACGGGAUUAGAUACCCCCGUAGUCCCUGAGCGGGCUGGCAAGGCGCAU
RNAcentral lists this ribosomal RNA (474 nucleotides) under uncultured bacterium. Its description in RNAcentral is "bacterial SSU rRNA". It matches the Rfam family "Bacterial small subunit ribosomal RNA", at positions 355 to 825 of the family's 1533-position model. The record is from RNAcentral.